CGGGAGUCUGUCACAUAUCAAUAAUGGCUGUUAUUUACCCUAUUAUACAAAUGUGAAGAGUGUACUCACUUUUGUGAAAUACUUUUGUGAAAUACUUACCAGUCCAGUACAAUAUUAGCCAACUUAGCAUCUGUCUUGUAGUCCUUCUAGGCUCCAAGCUGCCUCCAUCUAACCUUGCUAUCAUCUAUCAUGUAUCAUACUCUUGUUUUAUCUCUGGUCUCUGGUCUGGAUCUUUUUUUAUUUUUAUCAGGAUAUUGAAGUGUCAGCGGCUUGGCAGUGCUGCUCUAUGCACCUUACAGAGGUAAGAUAGGGUUUCACUGAAGGCAAAGCAAGGUCUGGAGCCACUUCACAGUGUGAAGGAACACAGACUGAGAGAGAUACAGACAGAGGGAUGACCAGCCUUUCUCCUUUCCCUUAAUUCACACUUCCCUUUUUCUUUUUCUAUCCUUUUGGGUCUACAACAUCCAGCACAUCUAGUCAUCACUGUCUAGCCACAGCAACAGCAUCAUCUACCAAAGGAGCCUGGUCUUCUGUGUGCCACAGUGGAUGGAUUUGCCUCUAUUCUGGACAGAUUUAAGACUCAUCCUGGUACUUUUCAUGGAAUAUCCAGUCUUAAUGGAUGGAUUCACCUGCUACAAUCACGAUUUCUGACCUUCCAGGACUGUAGGGUCAUUUCUUUUACUUUAUCUUGUACGUGACACAGGAGUAACGCCUGAGGAUGUGGGCAUCUGCGACUGUGUUGACUGUAAUCUACAUCACUCUACCAGGGUCAUGGAGCAGUAAGUGGGUGGUGAGCUUCUCCAGAAAAGACAUCUGCGUCUGGGCCGGAACCACAGUAACGCUGCCCUGCCGCUACGAUUACCCGUCGCCCUACUCUGCCAAGCAGGUGAUAUGGUUCCACAUCACAGCGGACGGCAGAUGGGACAUAGCCUACCACACAGACGCUAACAUGGUGAGCCCCUCCUACAGAGACAGGAUCAAGUACAUGGGGGGCUACAAGAGGUGCAGUCUGCAGAUCACCAACGUUAAGCUGAGCGAUGACGGCCAGUACCACUUCAGGUUCGAGACGGACCAGCCGCAGAGCAGGUGGACCUCACCAGACUCCAUCAGUCUGUCAGUGACGGGUACGGUACACGCUUUACACAUCAGUAGAACAUUUUGUCCUGAUAAAUAUACUGAACUUUUA
RNAcentral lists this long non-coding RNA (1186 nucleotides) under Astyanax mexicanus (Mexican tetra). RNAcentral describes it as "lncRNA (ENSAMXG00005018922.1)". The record is from RNAcentral. Lineage: Eukaryota; Metazoa; Chordata; Actinopteri; Characiformes; Acestrorhamphidae.